GAUGAACGCUAGCUACAGGCUUAACACAUGCCAGUCGAGGGGAAACGGCAUUGAGUGCUUGCACUCUUUGGACGUCGACCGGCGCACGGGUGAGUAACGCGUAUCCAACCUUCCCAUUACUGUGGGAUAACCUGCCGAAAGGCAGACUAAUACCGCAUAGUCUUCGAUGACGGCAUCAGAUUUGAAGUAAAGAUUUAUCGGUAAUGGAUGGGGAUGCGUCUGAUUAGCUUGUUGGCGGGGUAACGGCCCACCAAGGCUACGAUCAGUAGGGGUUCUGAGAGGAAGGUCCCCCACAUUGGAACUGAGACACGGUCCAAACUCCUACGGGAGGCAGCAGUGAGGAAUAUUGGUCAAUGGACGGAAGUCUGAACCAGCCAAGUAGCGUGCAGGAGGACGGCCCUAUGGGUUGUAAACUGCUUUUGUAUGGGGAUAAAGUUAGGGACGUGUCCCUAUUUGCAGGUACCAUACGAAUAAGGACCGGCUAAUUCCGUG
This 492-nucleotide ribosomal RNA is filed under the name uncultured bacterium. RNAcentral's name for it is "partial 16S ribosomal RNA". It matches the Rfam family "Bacterial small subunit ribosomal RNA", at positions 28 to 507 of the family's 1533-position model. The record is from RNAcentral.